AACGAACGCUGGCGGCAUGCCUAACACAUGCAAGUCGAACGAGGCCAUCGGGUCUAGUGGCGCACGGGUGCGUAACGCGUGGGAACCUGCACUUAGGUUCGGAAUAACUCUCCGACAGGGGUGCUAAUACCGGAUAAUGUCUUCGGACCAAAGAUUUAUCGCCCUUGGAUGGGCCCGCGUUGUAUUAGCUAGUUGGUAGGGUAAAAGCCUACCAAGGCGAGGAUCCAUAGCUGGUCUGAGAGGAUGAUCAGCCACACUGGGAGUGAGACACGGCCGAGACUCUUACGGGAGGGGGCAGUGGGGGAUAUUGGACAAUGGGCGGAGGCCUGAUGCAGCUAUGCCUGGUGAGUGAUGAAGGUCGUAAGGUAGUAAAGCUCUUUUACCCGGGAUGAUAAUGACGGUACCGGAAGAAUAAGCCCCGGCUAACUCCGUG
RNAcentral lists this ribosomal RNA (433 nucleotides) under uncultured bacterium. RNAcentral describes it as "partial 16S ribosomal RNA". It matches the Rfam family "Bacterial small subunit ribosomal RNA", at positions 29 to 507 of the family's 1533-position model. The record is from RNAcentral.